UUCUGGCUCAGGAUGAACGCUGGCGGCGUGCCUAACACAUGCAAGUCGAACGAAGCACUUCUGGUUGGAGAUUCGUCGAAGACCGGAUUGACUUAGUGGCGGACGGGUGAGUAAUGUAUGAGCAACCUGCCUUUCAGAGGGGGACAACAGUUGGAAACGACUGCUAAUACCGCAUAAUGUAUUGAUGGGGCAUCCCGUUGAUACCAAAGGAGCAAUCCGCUGAAAGAUGGGCUCAUAUCUGAUUAGUUAGUUGGCAGGGUAACGGCCUACCAAGACUGCGAUCAGUAGCCGGACUGAGAGGUUGAACGGCCACAUUGGGACUGAGAUACGGCCCAGACUCCUACGGGAGGCAGCAGUGGGGAAUAUUGGGCAAUGGGCGGAAGCCUCGACCCAGCAACGCCGCGUGAAGGAAGAAGGUCUUCGGAUUAGUAAACUUCUUUUAUGAGGGACGAAGGACGUGACGGUACCUCAUGAAUAAGCCACGGCUAACUACGUGCCAGCCGCCGC
Molecule: ribosomal RNA, 507 nt
Filed under: uncultured bacterium
Lineage: Bacteria
Description: bacterial SSU rRNA
Rfam family: Bacterial small subunit ribosomal RNA
Source: RNAcentral